UACGUAGGGGGCAAGCGUUGUCCGGAUUUAUUGGGCGUAAAGAGCGUGUAGGCGGCCAGGUAGGUCGGUUGUGAAAACUGGAGGCUUAACCUUCAGACGUCGACCGAAACCAUCUGGCUAGAGUCCGGAAGAGGAGAGUGGAAUUCCUGGUGUAGCGGUGAAAUGCGCAGAUAUCAGGAAGAACACCCGUGGCGAAGGCGGCUCUCUGGGACGGUACUGACGCCGAGACGCGAAAGCUAGGGGAGCGAACAGG
This 253-nucleotide ribosomal RNA is filed under the name uncultured bacterium. RNAcentral's name for it is "partial 16S ribosomal RNA". It matches the Rfam family "Bacterial small subunit ribosomal RNA", at positions 524 to 776 of the family's 1533-position model. The record is from RNAcentral.